Molecule: ribosomal RNA, 412 nt
Filed under: Hylemya variata
Lineage: Eukaryota; Metazoa; Arthropoda; Insecta; Diptera; Anthomyiidae
Description: partial 16S ribosomal RNA
Source: RNAcentral
UUUAAAUGGCCGCAGUAUAUUAACUGUGCAAAGGUAGCAUAAUCAUUAGUUUUUUAAUUGAAAGCUGGAAUGAAUGGUUGGACGAGAUAUUAACUGUUUCAUUAAAAUUUAUAUUAGAAUUUUAUUUUUUAGUUAAAAAGCUAAAAUAAAUUUAAAAGACGAGAAGACCCUAUAAAUCUUUAUAUUUAAAUUAUUAUGAUUAUAUAGAAUAUUUUUGUUAUGAUAAUUUAUAAUAUUUUAUUGGGGUGAUAUUAAAAUUUAAUUAACUUUUAAUCUUUAAAAUCAUUAAUUUAUGAAUAAUUGAUCCAUUAAUAAUGAUUAAAAAAAUAAGUUACUUUAGGGAUAACAGCGUAAUUUUUUUGGAGAGUUCUUAUCAAUAAAAAAGAUUGCGACCUCGAUGUUGGAUUAAGAU